GCUUGCCUCUCCCUCUUUCUUUGACGCGAACUAAAAGUCCAAUUAACAAGUCCAACAAGGAAACUCAAAUAACGAUCUGGAUCCAAUGUAACCCCAAGGAACACUUAAACAGCAAGAAUGCGAUGGGUAGAUCCAAUGUAUAAUGCCAAUUUUCACACUGAAAAGAACAGAAAGAAGUGAAAGGUAGCGAAAUGACCUUGUUUUUCAAUACUAUUAUUGAGUAUAAAAUAACGUACUCAUAUCAGGACCAGAAAUUGUAUAAUAAUAGAAUUUUGUACCCCCUGUUUUCCUGCAAACAGC
Pelobates cultripes (western spadefoot toad) is the source of this 300-nucleotide non-coding RNA. The record is from the annotation of a GenBank genome assembly. Lineage: Eukaryota; Metazoa; Chordata; Amphibia; Anura; Pelobatidae.